CUUGACAUCCAGAGAAUUUAGCAGAGAUGCUUUAGUGCCUUCGGGAACUCUGAGACAGGUGCUGCAUGGCUGUCGUCAGCUCGUGUUGUGAAAUGUUGGGUUAACGUCCGCAACGAGCGCAACCCUUAUCCUUUGUUGCCAGCGCGUAAUGGCGGGAACUCAAAGGAGACUGCCGGUGAUAAACCGGAGGAAGGUGGGGAUGACGUCAAGUCAUCAUGGCCCUUACGAGUAGGGCUACACACGUGCUACAAUGGCGCAUACAAAGAGAAGCGACCUCGCGAGAGCAAGCGGACCUCAUAAAGUGCGUCGUAGUCCGGAUUGGAGUCUGCAACUCGACUCCAUGAAGUCGGAAUCGCUAGUAAUCGUAAAUCAGAAUGUUACGGUGAAUACGUUCCCGGGCCUUGUACACACCGCCCGUCACACCAUGGGAGUGGGUUGCAAAAGAAGUAGAUAGCUUAACCUUCGGGAGGGCGUUUACCACUUUGUGAUUCAUGACUGGGGUGAAGUCGUAACAAGGUAAGCGUAGACGU
This 530-nucleotide ribosomal RNA is filed under the name uncultured bacterium. RNAcentral describes it as "bacterial SSU rRNA". It matches the Rfam family "Bacterial small subunit ribosomal RNA", at positions 980 to 1509 of the family's 1533-position model. The record is from RNAcentral.